GCGGGAGGCCGAACUGAUUAGAAGCUUGCUUCUAUGACGUUAGCGGCGGACGGGAGAGUAACAGAGGGGGCAACCUGCCUGUAAGACUGGGAUAACUUCGGGAAAACGAAGCUAAUACCGGAUAGGAUCUUCUCCUUCAUGGGAGAUGAUUGAAAGAUGGUUUCGGCUAUCACUUACAGAUGCCCCCCGCGGUGCAUUAGCUAGUUGGUGAGGUAACGGCUCACCAAGGCAACGAUGCAUAGCCGACCUGAGAGGGUGAUCGGCCACACUGGGACUGAGACACGGGCCAGACUCCUACGGGAGGCAGCAGUAGGGAAUCUUCCGCAAUGGACGAAAGUCUGACGGAUCAACGCCGCGUGAGUGAUGAAGGCUUUCGGGUCCUAAAACUCUGUUGUUAGGGAAGAACAAAUAUGAAAGUAACUGCUCGUCCUUGA
This 434-nucleotide ribosomal RNA is filed under the name Priestia aryabhattai. RNAcentral's name for it is "bacterial SSU rRNA". It matches the Rfam family "Bacterial small subunit ribosomal RNA", at positions 57 to 482 of the family's 1533-position model. Lineage: Bacteria; Bacillati; Bacillota; Bacilli; Caryophanales; Bacillaceae. The record is from RNAcentral.